Molecule: unclassified non-coding RNA, 355 nt
Filed under: soil metagenome
Description: partial contains 5.8S ribosomal RNA, internal transcribed spacer 2, and large subunit ribosomal RNA
Rfam family: 5.8S ribosomal RNA (bases 1-120)
Source: RNAcentral
GAUGAAGAACGCAGCGAAAUGCGAUAAGUAAUGCGAAUUGCAGAAUUCAGUGAAUCAUCGAAUCUUUGAACGCACAUUGCGCCCGCUAGUAUUCUGGCGGGCAUGCCUGUCUGAGCGUCAUUUCAACCCUCGCCCCCGGCUUUUGCUGGGAGCGGUGUUGGGGAUCGGCCGCCCGUCACUGGGAGGCCGGCCCCGAAAUAGAGUGGCGACCACGCCGUGUGCUCCUCUGCGUAGUAGCAAAUCACCUCGCAGGCGGACAGCGGUGCGGCCUGCCGUAAAACCCCCAACUCUUUCUGGUUGACCUCAGAUCAGGUAGGAAUACCCGCUGAACUUAAGCAUAUCAAUAAGCGGAGGA